CCCUUAGAUGUUCUGGGCUGCACGCGCGCUACACUGACAUACUCAGCAAGUUUCCUUUCCCGAAAGGGUUGGGUAAUCUUGUUAGUGUAUGUCGUGAUAGGAAUUCCUAGUAAGCGCAAGUCAACAGCUUGCGCUGAUUACGUCCCUGCCCUUUGUACACACCGCCCGUCGCUCCUACCGAUUGGGUGAUCCGGUGAAUGGUUCGGACUCUGGCUAUGCUAGCUACUAGCUACGUCAGGGAAAGUUCUGUGAACCUUAUCACUUGGAGGAAGGAGAAGUCGUAACA
This 286-nucleotide ribosomal RNA is filed under the name uncultured eukaryote. RNAcentral's name for it is "partial 18S ribosomal RNA". It matches the Rfam family "Eukaryotic small subunit ribosomal RNA", at positions 1470 to 1796 of the family's 1831-position model. The record is from RNAcentral.